This is a non-coding RNA of Mustela putorius furo (domestic ferret), 73 nucleotides long. The record is from Rfam. NCBI's taxonomy places the organism in Eukaryota, Metazoa, Chordata, Mammalia, Carnivora, Mustelidae.
GUACGUGAAAGUGAUGAAGAAAAAGUUCACUUUGGAAUGGCUAUAAGCAUUUAAAAAAAGACUGAAAACAUAU